RNAcentral lists this ribosomal RNA (253 nucleotides) under uncultured prokaryote. RNAcentral describes it as "partial 16S ribosomal RNA". It matches the Rfam family "Bacterial small subunit ribosomal RNA", at positions 524 to 776 of the family's 1533-position model. The record is from RNAcentral.
UACGGAGGGUGCAAGCGUUAUCCGGAUUCACUGGGUUUAAAGGGUGCGUAGGUGGGCAGGUAAGUCAGUGGUGAAAUCCCCAAGCUUAACUUGGGAACUGCCAUUGAUACUAUUUGUCUUGAAUACCGUGGAGGUGAGCGGAAUAUGUCAUGUAGCGGUGAAAUGCUUAGAUAUGACAUAGAACACCGAUAGCGAAGGCAGCUUACUACAGGUUCAUUGACGCUGAGGCACGAAAGCGUGGGGAGCAAACAGG